RNAcentral lists this ribosomal RNA (465 nucleotides) under Triticum aestivum (bread wheat). RNAcentral's name for it is "partial small subunit ribosomal RNA". The record is from RNAcentral. Lineage: Eukaryota; Viridiplantae; Streptophyta; Magnoliopsida; Poales; Poaceae.
CUCAAGCUCCAGCCGUACGCUCAAUCUUCCAUCGUCAACCGCCCCUGCCGCAAGCUCUCAUACAAGUUCUAUGGCCCGUUCUUGGUGAUCGAGCGCAUUGGCUCCCUGGCAUACCCACUGCAGCUGCCUCCGGACAGCCGCGUCCAUCAGGUAUUCCACGUCUCCCAAUUGAAGCCUUUCACCCCUGAUUAUACUCCUGUCUUCGCGGAACUGCCCAGGGUACCGGACCUCGCCGCUGGCGAGUCUGAACCAAUCGCCAUCCUGGAUCGCCGCAUGAUGAAAAAGGGAGACGCUCCAGUCGUCCAAUUGCUUGUUCAGUGGGCCAACAUGCCACCGGUGGCCACCACCUGGGAGGACUACGACAUCCUACGGCAACGUUAUCCGUCGGCCUGCAUCUGGGAGGAAGCUGCUUCUCAAGGAGGGGACAAUGUCACGCCUGCAGAUGAUACAUCUGCAGCGGACUGA